This 536-nucleotide long non-coding RNA is filed under the name Polistes fuscatus (common paper wasp). RNAcentral describes it as "uncharacterized LOC122522208". Lineage: Eukaryota; Metazoa; Arthropoda; Insecta; Hymenoptera; Vespidae. The record is from RNAcentral.
GAGAAUACUUCAUUUUUCCAACAAACAUUAGUAGACGAUUCAACAUCCCAGGGGUAGUGCGAUCACAUCCCAGGGUCGACGAUAGAAAGGUGACGGACCGCAGAGGCGGUAAUUAACGAUAAAGAAAGGGAGAGGCGAUACGAAACGCUGAAUCCAAUCGCCGGAGGACUCCACGUAGGAGGAAUUUUUGGCAAAUACAUUUUGGUGCCUCCUGUGAGGUCUGAAUUCCUGAUCUCUGGUUUGAGCGAAUCUGCGUAUCUGGUAGCAGUAGAUUGAGUACAAUGGAUUCAAGAACAACGAGGUUGAGAACAUCUACUUCAUGAACACCCUCGCUAUCCAGUCGAGCUAGUUGUUACAAAAGAUUCGGAAUAAAAGAUAAGUAGAUUCAAUCAUUUCUGCAUACGCUCAUUAUGCGUAUCCGCUUUUUAAAAAAUUAAUAAAUAUUUCACAUUAAAUUGCUUCUUCGAACCCCUUAGAAGUUCGCAAUUUCUAAUAUAAGUAUUCACUGUCUCAUCUUUCUUACCAAAUUAUUAUAA